AUUGAACGCUGGCGGGAUGCCUUACACAUGCAAGUCGAACGGCAGCACGGACUUCGGUCUGGUGGCGAGUGGCGAACGGGUGAGUAAUGUAUAGGAACGUGCCCAGUAGCGGGGGAUAACUACGCGAAAGCGUAGCUAAUACCGCAUCCGCCCAACGGGUGAAACCCAGGGAUCGCAAGAGAUUGCAGUAUUUGAGCGGCCGUAAACGGAUUAGCUAGUUGGUAGGGUAACGGCUUACCAAGGCGACGAUCCGUAGCUGGUUUGAGAGGACGACCAGCCACACUGGGACUGAGACACGGCCCAGACUCCUACGGGAGGCAGCAGUGGGGAAUUUUGGGCAAUGGGCGAAACCCUGAUCCAGCCAUCCCGCGUGAGUGAUGAAGGUCUUCGGGUUGUAAAGCACUGUUGGCAGGAAAGAAACGUCGCGUGUUAAUCCCUCGCGAAACUGACGGUACCUGCAGAAUAAGCACCGGCUAACUACGUG
RNAcentral lists this ribosomal RNA (484 nucleotides) under uncultured bacterium. RNAcentral describes it as "partial 16S ribosomal RNA". It matches the Rfam family "Bacterial small subunit ribosomal RNA", at positions 30 to 507 of the family's 1533-position model. The record is from RNAcentral.